Chelonia mydas (Green sea turtle) is the source of this 7249-nucleotide long non-coding RNA. RefSeq lists it as uncharacterized. The record is from RefSeq and is a predicted model, not a curated record. NCBI's taxonomy places the organism in Eukaryota, Metazoa, Chordata, Testudines, Cheloniidae. The transcript is spliced from 2 exons.
GUGAGCGGUUUAUUGCAGGAGUGGGUGGGGAAGAUUGUGUGGCCUGCAUUGUGCAGGAGGUCAGACUAAAUGAUCAUAAUGGUCCCUUCUGACCUUAAAGUCUAUGAACAGAGUGAAUUCCAUCAAUGUACCUUUUACACAAAGCCAGUUCCUCAAAAGAAAGCAGCACAUGCUGCUAAACUGAAAGGUAAAUGAGGAACAGGAAAGGAAACUCCAUUUGUGAAAGUGUGACACUCUCCCCACACUUCUGCCCCAGCACAUGAGAACGGCUGCCACCUUGUAAGGACAUGAGCUAACUAGGGGGAAAUGAGACCCAGGGGGAUGAACCUAUAGCCAACAAGCAGCAUGGAAAGGGGAAAAGGGUGAGAUUGGCCUCUCUGUGGUCCUGGGCUGGGACGUGUUGGCAUCUUACAUCAUUGGCAUUGUCGUUAAUUUCUUGUCAUUGUUCCAGAUUGUUGUCUCAACUACAGAGGUGUAAAUUUAGAGUUAUUUAAUAUGUAUGCCAUGCAGCUGAGAUUGGAAUCUGGCCAGUUAGAGCAGAAAGCUAAAAAAGCAGUUACAGUCACCACCCAGGAGCCGGCCUGUUAUCUGAGGGAACCAUACAUGGGGCCCUGGGCUGAUAAAACCACGAGAGACUCACAUUGCCCAGAGGAUCAAACAUUCAGACACCAGUUGUAUCUAUGUUGCCUCCAGGACCUCAGCUUUCAUUUAAAGAGAAAAGUUUCUAGCCAUCAUGGUUCCAAAGACAACCCGCCAAACGUGACCCAAGCAUAACUAAUGCAGUGCUGUCUGCCUGAGUCAGUAGCCAACUUGAAACAAAUCCUCUGGGAGGAGUGAAUUCCCCAACCCAGAAAUCUCACUAGGGUCCUAACUCUAAAAGCUGAUAAUGACACUUUCAAAUACCAGCAUCAAUUUCUUCAUUGUUGGAAGGAAGCCUAUGGGGGCAGGAACUGGAACUAGCUGCAGAGGGAAGAAAAGAGGAGACACAAAAAGAUGAAGGGAAAUAGAAGCACAGAAAGGAGAGUGGGGACAGAGAGAAACAAAGGCCAGAGAUAGCCCUGGGCUUAAAGAGGAGGAUAUUUUCAAAUAAUACUUAAGGUGCCAGUAAGGUUCUGAACAAAUGAUUAAGGAUAAUAAUAACUAAAGGUUUAGAUGCUAACUAGAUUCUACUCUUGAUCUUUGUGCAGACCUCCCAUUGCCAUCAGUGGGAAUUCUGCUAUGGGUCCAGAGGAGAAUAUAGCCCUAAAUUUAUAGCCUGCCAUUAAAAAUGGAAUUUGGUCUUCUCCACAAAAUGAGUUUGACAUCCCUGAUAUGGCUGAAUAGAAUGGGUUUUGUUCUUUAUAUAUAAAUCACCCCCUCCCUCCUAUGCACUGCCCUGCUUCCUGAAACAUUUAAAAUUUGUUUUCCUUUGGUUAUUUGUGGUUGUAGCCACCAGCUGGCCUGUCUCAAUGCUGAAAUGCUCUGCAUAUUAUUCCAUUAUCCCAUUAGGUUGAACAUGUCCUUCCUCCCUCAAGAGCUGUUAAGACAUCAAUCGUACUGGAGAGAGACAGUCCUAGUCACAGGCAAAGAAAGCCCUGCGUCCAACAGGCACUGCCACCCCUUCCCCUUCUCCUUGGGGAAGACCCACUGCCUGUAGACAACCAGCUGGGUGAUCCUGUAUCUCAAGGGGCACAGGUGACUUCUCACUCCAUGCCAAUGUCUUGUGCUCGUGCCUUAAGAGGCGAUACUCUGGUCAUUUGGUGCCAGGCUCCCUGACUAAGUAGGUCACAUUUAUGUUAUUUCUCAUUUAUGUAUAAAAUCUUAUGAAUACUACUAGUUGGUUUGAAGCCUGCUGCUUUAUCUUUUCAGAUGGCCAUUUGUAACGCUGCAUUAUUUCAAGGUCUCGCCCUGUCCCUCCCAUCAGGACUGGAAACUAUAUUCUAGAACUGCUGCCUCCGUUGCACAGAAUCUUGGGAAACGGCCCUGACUCAGGGCAAUGACUUUUAAAUUGGGGUCUCUUCUCUCUCCACUGGGAGUAGAGGGGAAUAGCACGGGAAUGGAAGUUGCAGGCCCCCUGAUCCAGCCCUACAUAAGCACGCUCACUCGCUGCUGAGUCUGCAGGUAAAACCAUGCAUCUUCCCACCCUGCUCCCACUGUGGUCCUUAAGGGAAGCAGCUGUGGAGUCAGCUCACACGUCCAGGCGUGCAGGCUCCAGCAGUGCCCAGCUAGUUCAAGCUUCUGUCCUCUGCUCAGCCCAGUCUUGGGCAACCUUCACGGACACCCUCACCUCCCGUAGCAUGAAGCUUUCUGGGAAGUGGGAGAAUGGGGAGAGGGAAGAGGACAAAUGGUGGCAAAACACAAUGUAAACGGGAAAGGGGGAGAAGAAGAAAAGAAAAAAAAAAAAGAAAGUAAAACAGAAAAAACAAGAGAGGAAAAGAGUGACAGCAGUCACUGUUAGGAUCUGGUAUGAGGGGACAACACACACCUGUCCACUAAUUUACGCCAAAAUUUAGUUCUCUCCCCCUCUCCCCUUCAUGCAGAUCCCCCCAGCUCUCUACUUUCCCUGCCAUCCCCUCCCCAGCCCCCUGACUUCACAUUCAAUUAGCUUCAGGAACAUUUGGUACAGGAAGAUGCUCAGAAUGUAUCAAAUUAACGCAUUAUGAAAAUACAGUCAGGAAAUGUCCAUCUGAUCCUUAUUCAGUUAACAGGAGAUGAUAGAGUGUGGAUGUCAAGCUAGAAGCAGGGGACAGUGUUCUACCUAGACAUAUGUUUUCUGGGCCACGGUGUCAUAUCAUCUUCCAAACGCUGCUGCUGCCAAUCUCCAUCACCUCUUUCUGCUUUCACCCUUGUUUAUACCCUCAGAGAGGGGAUAGGAGGGAGAUAAGAGACAGUGAAAGUACUCCUCCCUAUUACUCUUAAAGAACAUGCUCAUUCUUGGCAUGACAAGGCCAGCAUAGACCAAUGAAAUUUUUUUCUCCAGGAUAGCUACAAAUGGCCUGUGGCUCCUAUUACAUCACUUUCCUUUCCCAGCUGUUUUCAUAGCGACCCCUUCCUUUACUGACACUUUUCUACUAUCUGAGACCUUACUGGGAUCCCAAGGAGAAAGGCCAAAAGUCACUAUUAUUUGAAGGGUGGAUUAAUUACUGUGAAUUAAGGGCUAGAUUUUCAAAACUGACUAAUGAUUUUGGGUGCCCAACCUGAGACACCUCAAAAGGGCCUGAUUUCCAGAGGGUGAGUGGCUCACACAUCCUGAAAAUCAGACCUCUUUCAGGUGUCCAUUUGGGCCCUCAAAAAUCCAGGCACUGGAAACGAGUAGUCACUUUUGAAAAUGUAGGCCUUAGCCCUUAUUUCUGUUCAUGAACAGAUCCUAAGCUCCAAGAACACAGUAGUUAUUUAUAAAUAUUCCCCAGAUCGUUUGGAGAAACAAUUUUCAGCUCACUAACUCCAUUUGCUAAUCUUUAUUCACUUACUAUUAUUUCUGUUCCUUGAUUAGAUGAAAGAAAAGGAGUACUUGUGGCACCUUAGAGACUAACCAAUUUAUUUGAGCAUAAGCUUUCGUGAGCUACAGCUCACUGUAUCGGAUGCAUCCAGAUACAUGCAGAUAAUAAACACUGAUUCUAAUUUAACUGUCUAAAACUAUGCCCAUGUUGUGGCUGAAAGCACACUAGCAUCAACAGUCUUUAGCAGGGCACUAACACUGUUUCCCUAGCUGAUGUGCAUGAAGUUAUCAUCCUGAGAUCCAUGCUACAGUCUAACCCCACUGGUGCAUAGGUAGGAUAUGUUUAGCACAGUUUAGUAAUGGAGUCUCCGGCGGAAAAACACCACAGCUGUCCAUGAUGCACCAGGGAAGCUGAGCUGGCAUGUGUUCAAUGCGUCAGCUGUGGUGUGGACAGGCCCUAAUAGAGAUGGAGUCCAUAAGUCCAACAAGGGCUGAAUGUGCUCCAGAUAAUGAGCUGCACAUCACCCAGCUCUCCACUCUUGCUCAUUUAAGCAGAGAACCUCUGAGAUUCCACUUUGAGCAAGCAAGGGAAAGUAGCUGAGCGAGCCUGCUUAGAUCUAUUUUUAUAUACCUUCUCCAUCUGUUCCUCUCCACAGCUGGCAGAACCUGGGACUGCAGUGUUAGAUCUUCAUAACAAAAGCUUCCUUAUGAAACAUGGGCACUCCUCUCUCCCCACCGGGUUUGGUUGGCUGGGGCAAUCUAUUUUGGGAGACACAGAUGGCAUACCCAUCUUCUCACUGAGCAGCAGAGAAGAACAAGCAAAUGCUAGCCAGUGAUAAAUGCUCAGCCAAAUACAACAUUUUCACCACAUCAAGGGUCUGACAAACCCACAGAGCCUGGGGCGGGGAGUUCAUGGCUUGGGCUGACACACAGGUCCCAUCAAGGGGAAUGGGAUUCAUGGGUGAGUCUGAGUUACUGGACAGUUUUCACUAGUAUAAAGGCUUUUGAAAGGCAUAAAGACAUAGCAGAGCGCUCCCUGCCAUGGUACCUUCAUAGCACAGAGCUGUAUGUCCCAGCUCCAUCCUGUCUGUUAUUUGAUUCUGCUGAUGCUAUGUCCUGUAUUUAUUUUUCUUGUGCAGAUAUCCAGGCGGGGGGUGGGAGGACCAGGUUUGACCUGCUGGAAAGCCAUUGCAUCCCUAACUGCAGCACUGACCAAAAAUCAGUGAAGAACUACAUGAGGCAGCUUCUACCUACCUUAGGAUGCGCAGAAGCAAGGGGAAGUCAAAGGCUGUGGAUCUUGAAAGGAAACAGGUUCCUGUGCAUCUCAUCUUGAAGGUGAUGUCAGCAGCUGUGUCUAUUCAGGGGGAAAAACAGAGACACACAUUUUAACACUGAGAUAUCUGACACACAGAGCAUCGGACCAAAUUGAAAAACAGCAAAUGAAUUGCUAAACACCUAGGGAUCUCCCUUCUUAGACAGGCAGAACAUGGCUGUACUGGGGGCAGAGUAGCACUUCUGUCAGGGCCUGAUUCAUAAAAAGGCCUUAAUGUAAAUGAGAUCCAGGCCCUCAACAUUUAGCCUUGUUGGUUCUGAGCUAUCUGCAUUUUACAGACCUGCAGGCCCAAAGGCCAGAGCAGCUUGACCCGGGGUUUGAAGGGAAGAGAAGGUUAAUCUAUCGUUACAAGGGUUCCAUGCUGAAUACACCAUUUUCCAGAGUGAGAGGUGAAUUGAAGAUCCCUAUGGGGGGAAAUGAAACAGAAGGUGAUAUCAACCUGCCGACACCGCAUCUCACACUUGAGUGGUACAAUGAAAUCUUACUGUGAGAUUGUUUCUGAUGGUCAUCAAGAAGGCCAUGCUGCAUUAAUAUCAUGGGAGGUGCAAUCAUCCUGGGGAUCUCUGAUAACAUAGGGUAUGCUGUCUGGAUCUCGUUUUGUGGAAAGCGUUAAGUUUUGACAUCAUUUUAAAAUGCAGGAAUCAGUAUGGAAAGGAAACUCCUUGGGGAGCAGGUGUUAAGAGACAGCAGCCAGCUGAAAACUGCCUUUUAGACAACUGCUACCCACAGAGUUGGGGGCAGAUCUAAAGAACACAAGACCCUGGUUUUUGAUUACACACAUGUAUGUUGCAUUGGUUAGUUCUGCAGCUUGAAAGGCUUUAGUGCGAAUGAGAGAUAUUACUGUGUAUUUCCUCUGGAAGGAAAUCAAGAUGUUGGGUCUGAUGAAUUCAGAAAGACACAGCUGUAGGACAAGCAGCUGGCCUUAGGCUUUGUUUAUGGUGUUGAGCUAUUAGUAAUGGGAGAAGAGAAUUUUUUUAUGCAACCUUUAGCAUCAUCUCCUGUUGGAAGUAAAGGAGGGUUUCUGGAAGGGGUUGAUGUUCUCCUUCCCCCCCCCCAGCCUUCUGUUCAUGUCUUCAGAAGGGAUUUAGAGAAAGGCAGGGAAUACCUACAUUAUUGUGCCAAUCCCAAAUGGUAAGCACCUUAGUAAUGAAGGAGCCAAGAGUGUGUUGCUGCAAGGUGUGAGCACCCCUUUGGCAGGUAUGAAGCACCCUCAUCUCCUAUCAAAAUCAGUCUCUGAUGCUGAAGGCACCUUACAGGAGAUGCGCAGCACCUUUGGCGCUAGGCCCCUGGGUAUAAAGCUGGGCAUGAAGAUCCCAGUUCAGCUCUGGGGUUACACUCUCAUUGGCAUCACUGGAAAGGGGAGGCCAGUUGUGCUAGGGCUGAAUUUGGGUGAGGAGUGGGCUGUAUAGACAUAUGUGGAUGCAGCCGAACGUCUGAACUUGCUUGUUAACAUACCUGUGUCUGUAGGUUCACAGCCAAAGCAGCAUCAUUUGAUUACCCAUCACAAUGAGGUCUUCAGCAUCCCAAAAUACAGAGAAGUUUUCCAACAUGUUCUGGACUAUUGUACUCAAAGAGAUGUGUGGGGGUUACUUGCCCACAGUAAUGCUUGUUCUCCGAACAUAUUGCCCCCCAGAGCCUCACUGUAGGGUCUACCUAGAUGCACCCUCCCUGAGCUGGGUGACUAAUGAUCCCUGCUGGUGUAACAGCAGCAUGUCUCUCCCCAAGGAUCAUCUGCUCUUGCUGCAGUGUCCAGAGAAUAGCACUUGGUGUCAGCUCAGGAAUGUGUCUUUAGUUGUAGCUCCACUUCCUGACACAAGGGAGAGUCAGUAAAAGGCACCGGAUCUCUCACUUAUAAUUCCACACCCAGUGCUGCAGAUGGUUAAAAAAGUCUCUGUAACAACAGGUUGGUUAGAGUAGGUCAGUGAUAACCAGCCUUAUUACACUAGAGCACCACAUAAACUGAAGCACAACCUUGUGGGCCAAACAGAGUCUACAUAUUUUAAUAAGAUUUAAAGUCACCUGGACUGAUUUAUAUUUUACGUUCAGCUUGUUUCAUAUGUAUUUAGAUAGACAACACUGUACAUAGACAAUCUACGUACACACUUGUGUAAACUAAAAUGAUGUAAACAUGACGACAAAACGCUAAUGAAUCAGCCGUUAGUAUAUUAUGGUGAAGCCUUAUGAAAUUCUCUGGUGGACCAUAUACGGCCCGCAGGCUGUAGGUUGGGCACCCCUGGAGUAGGUGGUGGCUCUGCCAUUCAAACUGAUCUGUGUGUCUGCAUGGGGCUUGGUCAACAUUGACUUAUUGUGUGUAGCGUGGAACUUAACUGUGACCAUUUUUGGUCUCCAUGAAAGUCUCCUGUCCAUAAUUUCCAUAGGAUGCUAUGUGGCCAGCUGGCAGCUUCUUUUACUUGUUUCUUACAAAUGGAUCUUUGGUUUGAGGCAAUCCAUUCGAGAAUGAAGUAUUCAUCCAAAAAAUAAGACAGUGCUUAGACAGU